This 315-nucleotide long non-coding RNA is filed under the name Lathyrus oleraceus (garden pea). Its description in RNAcentral is "Pisum sativum (pea) long non-coding RNA (PSAT_LNC014153)". Lineage: Eukaryota; Viridiplantae; Streptophyta; Magnoliopsida; Fabales; Fabaceae. The record is from RNAcentral.
UAUUAAUAAAUUCUAGGGCUACUGGGUGCUUUUUAUAGGGGGGAAUUCUUAUAUGUCUUAGCACUCCCUCCUUGAACUCAUUGAAGGGAAGCUUGAACUUUAGCUGGGAUAAUAAGUACUUGUUGAAGGGGAUGGAACAUCCAUCAAAAAAACUGCAAAUCCUCUUUUCAUAAUAAAUAUGGGAGACCCACCAAUCUAAGGACAGACCCACACUUGCGUACCAAAUAUUGAGAUCGUCCCAACUAAUUCAGGACCUACCUAGUGGUACUCAUUAUCAACAACGGGUUCUAUAAGGCCUUCAUGCUUUCUUUGAAC